This 339-nucleotide ribosomal RNA is filed under the name uncultured bacterium. Its description in RNAcentral is "bacterial SSU rRNA". It matches the Rfam family "Bacterial small subunit ribosomal RNA", at positions 1 to 334 of the family's 1533-position model. The record is from RNAcentral.
CUAGCGACUUCAGAGUUUGAUCCUGGCUCAGGACGAACGCUGGCGGCGUGCCUAACACAUGCAAGUCGAACGGGGUGAAUUCCUUCGGGGAUUCACUUAGUGGCGAACGGGUGAGUAACGCGUGAGAAACCUGCCUUUCAGUGGGGGACAACAGUUGGAAACGACUGCUAAUACCGCAUAACAUCCUUAGGGGGCAUCCUCUUGGGAUCAAAGCUUUAUGUGCUGAAAGAUGGUCUCGCGUCUGAUUAGCUAGUUGGCGGGGUAACGGCCCACCAAGGCGACGAUCAGUAGCCGGUCUGAGAGGAUGAACGGCCACAUUGGGACUGAGAUACGGCCCAG